RNAcentral lists this ribosomal RNA (496 nucleotides) under uncultured bacterium. RNAcentral describes it as "partial 16S ribosomal RNA". It matches the Rfam family "Bacterial small subunit ribosomal RNA", at positions 29 to 507 of the family's 1533-position model. The record is from RNAcentral.
AUGAACGCUGGCGGCGUGCCUAAUACAUGCAAGUCGAGCGAACAGACGAGGAGCUUGCUCCUCUGACGUUAGCGGCGGACGGGUGAGUAACACGUGGAUAACCUACCUAUAAGACUGGGAUAACUUCGGGAAACCGGAGCUAAUACCGGAUAAUAUAUUGAACCGCAUGGUUCAAUAGUGAAAGACGGUUUUGCUGUCACUUAUAGAUGGAUCCGCGCCGCAUUAGCUAGUUGGUAAGGUAACGGCUUACCAAGGCGACGAUGCGUAGCCGACCUGAGAGGGUGGUCGGCCACACUGGAACUGAGACACGGUCCAGACUCCUACGGGAGGCAGCAGUAGGGAAUCUUCCGCAAUGGGCGAAAGCAUGACGGAGCAACGCGGCGUGAGUGAUGAAGGUCUUCGGAUCGUAAAACUCUGUUAUGAGGGAAGAACAAAUGUGUAAGUAACUAUGCACGUCUUGACGGUACCUAAUCAGAAAGCCACGGCUAACUACGUG